ACAUGUGUUCAUUAAUGUACUGUGCCUCUUCUAAAUACGUGUUUUUAUUGAUUUUAUUGCAUUAAUCCGUCCUUCCCUGGUUUGAUUGACAGCUCCCUGCAGGCUGCAGGGGGAGGAGUUUGUAAGUUUUACUUACGACACACACAGUCUGCAGACACAGAGACAAAACCACAGCAACACGACUCGACUGUGUGUGUUCUAUGUUUUCUAUUGUGCAGCAGCCACCACCAAACUGAAACCUCCACAGUCCAGAAAAAGAAAUGACACAGCAGGCAGGAAAAGUCUUCAUUUUUAAGGAUUCAAGCUCUAAAUGUAACGACAUUCAACAAACAAUCACAGAGGACUUGAGUCUCCCGAGCACAGAGGACCCAGCAGAAUGUGACUGGGUCAUUGUGUUUUGUCUGAUUAGAGAUCGAAGAUCAGACGUACAAUUUGCCCUUGAGCAGUUACCAGAACCGGCAAAAACAAAACCAGUUAUUUUAGUGGCGAUUCAUCACACGUGGAAAAAAAACGACCCAGACAUUGAAUAUUGGAGCAUCAAACAUGAGAGAAUUGUUCUGACUGUUUCUGUUCUUUUCCAUGAAGAUAAAGGACUAUUUAGAGAUGAAAAAUAUCACGGGGCCAUGCAGAAUAUAAAGGACAUGUGUAAUUACAUGACUGAAAACAAAUCACUUGUAAAUGAUUUAGAAAAGCUCAAACAGUUUGGAUCAUCAUUAAUUAAGAGUCGUUCAAAGAGAAGUGCUGUCAGCUGGUGCUCCUUAGUACGUUAUCUUCCAUGUAUCUUUAUAGUUAUGUUUGUUUUGUGGCGUGGUUGGUCGUAUUAUAAUUUGUCCACCUAUCUGUGGUAUGCUGUCCCGUCCUGCUCACUCUCAACAUCCACCACCUCACCCUCCACGCCCUCUUAGCCCCACUGCAUUAGCUGCCCACAAGAUGCCUGUUAGCUGGAGUUAGUCUUCUGUGUUUGACCUGGUGGGACCUGCUGUCCUGUUUUGGCCUUUUGUUUGGUAACGUUAGUUUGGGGAUGUUUUUUCCUUUAGGCUCGUGAUGUUGACACCAGGUUCUAUGGCCCUGUCCUGUUUUGGCCCGGUGCUGCAUCCUUUUGUUCUGUUUGUUUGACUCUUCUGUUGUUACUUUGAUUUUGGUUGCAGGAGGGUUUUUUGGGGCAUUUUUACUGUAAAUUAAAGAUAACUUAAAUAAACCUAUUUAACUUUUGUAA
Long non-coding RNA from Boleophthalmus pectinirostris (great blue-spotted mudskipper), 1216 nucleotides. RefSeq lists it as uncharacterized. The transcript is spliced from 3 exons. The record is from RefSeq and is a predicted model, not a curated record. NCBI's taxonomy places the organism in Eukaryota, Metazoa, Chordata, Actinopteri, Gobiiformes, Gobiidae.